GGUCGAGUGGUGAAAUGGUUAUCACUCUGGACUUUGAAUCCAGCAUUCCGAGUUCGAGUCUCGGCCCGACCU
This is a non-coding RNA of Rhagoletis zephyria (snowberry fruit fly), 72 nucleotides long. Lineage: Eukaryota; Metazoa; Arthropoda; Insecta; Diptera; Tephritidae. The record is from the annotation of a RefSeq genome assembly.